GGGGAUUUAGCUCAGUGGCAUAAGCACCUGCCUUGCAAGCAGGUGGUCGUACUGAUUUAAAAAACAAAAACCAAACCCCU
This 80-nucleotide transfer RNA is filed under the name Cavia porcellus (domestic guinea pig). Lineage: Eukaryota; Metazoa; Chordata; Mammalia; Rodentia; Caviidae. The record is from Rfam by way of RNAcentral.